Molecule: long non-coding RNA, 1499 nt
Organism: Cyprinus carpio carpio
Lineage: Eukaryota; Metazoa; Chordata; Actinopteri; Cypriniformes; Cyprinidae
Source: Ensembl
GGAAACGCGUAACCUAGAGUCCAAAAAUUAGGAGUUACUUUAGUACCUUACCUCUGUCAUUGAAAUAUUCAAAUUUAUUUUAUAUUCUUAAAGUUGGGACCAAAAUCCGUUGUUAAUAUGUAUAUGUAAAAAAAUUGGUCUUUCCAACAGCUGUAGAACUAAUAAACAUGCAGUGCAUGCUGACAUACACAGAAAAUAAUUAAUAGGGGAAAUAAUAGACAUUAAUGUUCUUGAUUAAUGACAAAAAUGAGAAGAAACAUUGAUUAAAUUCUAAAUGUGAUGGGUCAUGACUUGCCCUUUACAGCAUGUUAUGCUUCAUUAAAAAAAAAAAACUUGGGCACACUGCUCUAUUCUUUUCAUGAAUUCAGUAAACACAUAUGUUUGGGAUAUUCAUGGGUAAUGGAGCCUCUGCUAUUAUAAGUCUAAACUACAUCUCUCAUGUAGCUUUGAAUUUGGACAUCAGAACUCCUUUAUAUACAAUAGAAAAGAUAUAUAGCUGUUUAAUACUUGUUAUAAUCUGGCACAGAAAGAUUGUUACUGUUGUAAUUGGAAGACUUAUGCUCUGAUGUGUUCUUAUCCCAGUAUUGGCCAAUUCAUACUGAGAGCAAACUGCCAUCUGACCAGAGUUUUAGUUUUUCUUCUACUGGGACAUGUUUCCUCUCUGGGUUUAGAGCGAGGCAUUCAGUGGCACUCCACUCCUGAUCCUGACCAGCACUCUGUUCUGACCGCUGCAGAAGUCACAGUGCCUCCAUUCUGGGUGACAAUCCUGCUGAACUCUGACCCGAGUGGAAACCGCUGUGACAGAUGACCCGCUGGUGAGAGUGAAAGAUGAUCAAGGCUUCAUUUGAGUGUUUUAAAUACUGAAUUUGUUCUGUUUCUUACUCUGCAGACUCUUUAAAGACCUGUGAACACGAGAGGAUGUCUGUGCUCGCUGAAGUGGCCAUUCAGGGAUCAGAAGAGCGUUUUGUCCCAGAAUGCAGUGCAGAUGGGUGGUACAGAGCCGUUCAGGACACUGCUGGUGUGUGAGAGUGGACUCAGGAUGGCCCGUGCCGGGCACUUCAGCCAUAUAGAGAGAUUGUGUUUGUGUGUUAGUGAGUGUAGAAAACUGAAAACAUGAUUCUGUACUGUGUGGAGGAACCAAUUGCCUGACUGCAGCCCCCAGGAAACACACGCUCAUCAUCAACAACAACUGCUACACCCAAACCCCUCUCUCAGGUCAGAUCUCAGGCUGGAUGUGAUAAGUUGCACCCAGAAUGGGAAGAAUGUCAAAAGGUUGGGACAACAUGCCUUUACUCAUCUAAACCCAGACUAAGUUGUUCAUACCGGUGUUGUGUCAUAUAUAGGACAUACUUGUGUUUCUGGAAUAAAAAAGGUGAUUUAAAGGUAAUAUCUUAAACUCAGAAUUGCAAAAGUCUGAAUUGUAAGAUAAACCCAGCAUUGAGAGGGGAAAAAAAGUCUGAAUUGAGAUAAACUCAGAACUGAGAGGAAAAGAAGUCUAA